GACGAACGCUGGCGGCGUGCUUAACACAUGCAAGUCGAACGGAAAGGCCCUGCUUUUGUGGGGUGCUCGAGUGGCGAACGGGUGAGUAACACGUGAGUAACCUGCCCUUGACUUUGGGAUAACUUCAGGAAACUGGGGCUAAUACCGGAUAGGAGCUCCUGCUGCAUGGUGGGGGUUGGAAAGUUUCGGCGGUUGGGGAUGGACUCGCGGCUUAUCAGCUUGUUGGUGGGGUAGUGGCUUACCAAGGCUUUGACGGGUAGCCGGCCUGAGAGGGUGACCGGCCACAUUGGGACUGAGAUACGGCCCAGACUCCUACGGGAGGCAGCAGUGGGGAAUAUGGCACAAUGGGCGGAAGCCUGAUGCAGCAACGCCGCGUGCGGGAUGAAGGCCUUCGGGUUGGAAACCGCUUUCGCCUGUGACGAAGCGUGAGUGACGGUAAUGGGUAAAGAAGCACCGGCUAACUACGUG
Molecule: ribosomal RNA, 468 nt
Filed under: uncultured bacterium
Lineage: Bacteria
Description: partial 16S ribosomal RNA
Rfam family: Bacterial small subunit ribosomal RNA
Source: RNAcentral